UGCCGCUGAGCUGACUUGGCCUCAUUCUGUAUCUCUUCAGAGGCUUAAUGCAGAUCCAUAGGUACCUGGCAUAAAUGGACUAAAGUUCAGCUGUUACUGGAAUUCUGGGGUGGAACAGGCUCCUCGUUGAGUGGAAACCCUCUCUGUUCUUAGAAAUAAUGAAAAGGAGAUGACCAAGGGGAAGCCUGGGGCAGAAGUGUCCUACAGUGUUCUCUGGGUGCAGAAUAGUGAACACAGUGCUUGGGGUGGUGGUGGUGCAGUUCUCAGAUAAGGCAUUAUGAGCACAGUGGUUGCUGUGUGAUAGUGAGGACACACCGUGUCACACACAGAGCCACGACAGCCAUGGGGCACGGAGCCUUGGAGAGGACGUCCCCUCUCAGCCCACAGUGGACACAGACUCUGCUGUGACUGAGUUUUCAGGAAAUAAUCAACACCAUGUGAAGCUCUAGGUUGAAGAAUAGGCUUCAGUGGCUCUUGAAGGAGGCAAGUCGAGCUCCCCGGGGGUCAAGGGAGCCAGUGGCGAUCCAGUCUGGGAGAGAGCCCUCCGGAAGAACUCAAGGAAUGGAAAUUCAGAGCCACGGGACAAGACACUGACAUCGCAUAAGAAGCGAGAAUGGUUGAAAACUCAGGAAAAAAAAAAAAAAAGAGAUAUUCUCGGGUUUUACCUACAAAGCCAUGGUACAGCUUUUCUAGCUCC
RNAcentral lists this long non-coding RNA (697 nucleotides) under Fukomys damarensis (Damara mole-rat). RNAcentral describes it as "lncRNA (ENSFDAG00000032748.1)". The record is from RNAcentral. Lineage: Eukaryota; Metazoa; Chordata; Mammalia; Rodentia; Bathyergidae.